Molecule: long non-coding RNA, 638 nt
Organism: Dermacentor silvarum
Lineage: Eukaryota; Metazoa; Arthropoda; Arachnida; Ixodida; Ixodidae
Exons: 2
Source: RefSeq, a predicted model, not a curated record
UUCUAUAAAUAGGCGAGGACAGGUAUGUGUAAGCACUAGAACCUUUAUUCAGAUUUAGAUUUGUUAUAGCACCCCGAAAUGUGGAGAUUGUUUUCUAUUUGCGGGAAGAUGCGACUUCUUAACUGCCUUUGUUCUUGCAAAGCGAGUAUACAUUUACGAGUGCGCGAAAAUUACCACGAUUUUGUAAUAUAUAGCCAUGGUAUUAAAUCGGUAACAGACAAAUAAAAUCGAGACAACAAGCGCCGCGAAUUUCUGCAUAUCUGUUUGAGAUUCAAUUCAACGAACAUACACUGUUUUAUUAGUACGCCUGGUGCAUGGUUGCAUGCCGAAUAAGCUCUGGAGAAAACAUACAAUGCACAGCGGUCUGACACAUUACAUUACACCGUAUAAACUGGAAUAUAGGUCGGCCCCCGAAAACAGUUCAUACCUACCCCCGAUUGAGUAGCUAUUGAAUGACGCGCUAUUGCGAGGGUAGGUAACAACAACAGAUGUCUGCAUCGGAGGAAUAAGCAGUAAAUGGAACGUUUAUUGAAAUCUUAUGAGGAAGCUUAGGUCUUUCUUCGACAUCCAGGGAACACAAAAGGUGUGAAGUGUGUGUAUGGCAGUGUUACAAGGCGCCUAUACAGAAAUAGCUUGCA